UACGGAGGGUGCAAACGUUGCUCGGAAUUAUUGGGCGUAAAGCGCACGUAGGCGGCCGAUUAAGUCGGGUGUGAAAGCCCAGGGCUCAACCCUGGAAGUGCACUCGAAACUGGACGGCUUGAAUAUGGAAGAGGGUUGCGGAAUUCCCGGUGUAGAGGUGAAAUUCGUAGAUAUCGGGAGGAACACCAGUGGCGAAGGCGGCAACCUGGGCCAAUAUUGACGCUGAGGCUCGAAGGCGUGGGGAGCAAACAGG
RNAcentral lists this ribosomal RNA (253 nucleotides) under uncultured bacterium. RNAcentral's name for it is "partial 16S ribosomal RNA". It matches the Rfam family "Bacterial small subunit ribosomal RNA", at positions 524 to 776 of the family's 1533-position model. The record is from RNAcentral.